CUCCUGAAGAGAAUCCUCUCCCUCUUUGCCUUCUAACUUCAAGUUCAGCCUCUGUGCACGCCACUCCUCUGACACUGCAUAUUUGAACUAUAUGGAAAAAUGGAAACUAAAAAUGUGCCUGAGGAAUGGUGAGAAUAGGAGGUUUGGAGGGGACAAGAAAGAUCAAGGCUGGCAAGGACCUUCAACUUCUGGAACUGAUCAAUCUAGAUAUUAAUAUUAGACCCACACUUCCUGAGCUAAAAGAACUGAAAACAAUGAUGGUGAUGGUGAGAGGUGAAAGGAAAUUUAACAGCAAGCAAAUGAUAGAAAACUAUAGGCCAAAGAGACAAUUGAGGCUAGAAAAUACUGCUGGUGCCUCUUCCACACCCCAUGAAAAUGCUGGGCCUCCACGUUGUGAUGAAUGGCACAUCUGCCCUGUUGGCUCCUCUACCAGAGUAGAUUCUGUAUGAGACAUUCUUAUUAAAGAAUGGCUAAGUGUUUCUUCGACGUGUGGUUUAAAUGUUUGCCAGGAGCCAAGUGUGAACUGCGGCUUGGCAGCCUAAAGUCUCUACUGCGUGACCUCAGAAUCAUUUCAAACUGUCUCUUUAUCUUUUAUAAAUGUUAUGUAAGCCAAUAACACUGAUAAAUAAUUCUUUUUAACAUUGUAAAUCUUAGAAUGCUGCUUCAUUUUUAAAGAAUAUUUUGGAUUGACUGAAGGCACUUCAGGUGAGCUUCUAGUUGUUUCCUGAGCUCCUCUGGUGCCAAAAUGUCGUUCAUGGCUGCGGUUAUUCGGCGGCUGGACAAGACAGUGGUGAACAGCAUCACGCAAGGAAAGUUAUCCAGCGCCUGGUUAAUGCUAUCACAGAGAUCAUUGAGCACCGUUUAGACGCAAAAUCCGCAGGUAUUCAAGUGAUUGCUAAAGAGGGAGGCCUGAAGCUGAUUCGGAUCCAAGACAGUGGCACUGGGAUCAGGAAAGAAGAUCUGGAUAUUGUAUGCGAGAGGCUCCCUACGAGGAAACUGCAGUCCUUUGAGGAUUUAGCCAGUAUUUCCACCUAUGGCUUUCAAGGUGAGGCUUUGGCCAGCAUAAGCCACGUGGCUCAUGUUACUAUUACAGGGAAAAUAGCUGAUGGAAAGUGUGCAUACAGAGCAAGUUACUCAGAUGGAAAACUGAAAGCUCCUCCUAAACCAUGUGCUGGCAAUCAAGGGACCCAGAUCGUGGUGGAGGACCUUUUUUACAACAUAACCACAAGAAGAAAAGCUUUAAAAAAUCCAAGUGAAGAAUAUGGGAAAAUUUUGGAAGUUGUUGGCACAUAUUCAAUACACAAUUCAGGUAUUAGUUUCUCAGUUAAAAAACAAAGACAGUAGCUGAUGUUAGAUAGUAGCUAAUGCUGCAACCGUGGACAAUAUUCGCUCCAUCUUUGGAAAUGCUGUUAGUUGAGAAAUGAUAGAAAUUGGGUGUGAGGAUAAAACCCUAGCCUUCAAAACGAAUGGUUAUGUUUCCAAUGCAAACUACUCGGUGAAGAAGUGCAUCAUCUUACUCUUUAUCAACCACCGUCUGGUAGAAUCAACUUCCCUGAGAAAAGCCAUACAAACAGUGUAUGCAGCCUAUUUGCCCAAACACACACACCCAUUCCUAUACCGCAGUUUAGAAAUCAGUCCCCAGAAUGCGGAUGUUAAUGUGCACCCCACAAAGCACGAAGUUCACUGCCUGCAUGAGGAGAGCAUCCUGGAGUGGGAGCAGCAGCACAUUGAGAGCCAGCUCUUGGGCUCCAAUUCCUCCAGGAUGUCCUUCAUCCAGACUUUGCUACCAGGACUCGCUGGCCCCUCUGGGGAGAUGGUUAAAUCCACAACACAUCUGACCUCCUCUUCCACUUCUGGAAGUAGUGACGAGGUCUAUGCCCACCAGAUGGUUCGUACAGAUUCCUGAGAACAGAAGCUUGAUACAUUUCUGCAGCCCCUGAGCAAACUCCUGUCCAGUCAGCCCCAGGCCAUUGUCCCAGAGGAUAAGACAGAUAUUUCUAGUGGCAGGGCUAGGCAGCAAGAUGAGAAGAUGCUUGAACUCCCAGCCCCUGCUGAAGUGGCUGCCAAAAAUCAGAGCCUGGAGGGGGAUACAACAAAGGGGACUUCAGAAAUGUCAGAGAAGGGAUGACCCACUUCCAGCCCAGGCAAUCCCAGAAAGAGACAUAGGGAAGAUUCUGAUGUGGAAAUGGUGGAAGAUGAUUCCCGAAAGGACAUGACUGCAGUCUGUACUCCCCGGAGAAAGAUCAUUAGCCUCACCAGUGUUUUGAGUCUCCAGGAAGAAAUUAAUGAACGGCGACAUGAGAUUCUCCGGGAGAUGUUGCAUAACCACUCCUUCGUGGGCUGUGUGAAUCCUCAGUGGGCCUUGGCACAGCAUCAGACCAAGUUAUACCUUCUCAACACCACCAGCUUAGUGAAGCACUGUUCUACCAGAUACUCAUUUAUGAUUUUGCCAAUUUUGGCGUCCUGAGGUUAUUGGAGCCAGCACCGCUCUUUGACCUCACCAUGCUUGCCUUAGAUAGUCCAGAGAAUGGCUGGACAGAGGAAGAUGGUCCCAAAGAAGGACUUGCUGAAUACAUUGUUGAGUUUCUGAAGAGGAGGGCUGAGAUGCUUGCAGACUAUUUCUGUUCGGAAAUUGAUGAGGAAGGGAACCUGAUUGGAUUACCCCUUCUGAUUGACAACUGUGUGCCCCCUUUGGAAGGACUGCCUAUUUUCAUUCUUUGACUAGCCACUGAGGUGAAUUGGGACGAAGAAAAGGAAUGUUUUGAAAGCCUCAGUAAAGAAUGCACUAUGUUCUACUCCAUCCAAAAGCAGUACAUAUCUGAGGAGUCGACCCUCUCAGGCCAGCAGAGUGAAGUUCCUGGCUCCAUUCCAAACUCCUAGAAGUGGACUGUGAAACACAUUGUCUAUAAAGCCUUGCACUCACACAUUCUGCCUCCUAAACAUUUCACAGAUGAUGGUAAUAUCCUGCAGCUUGCUAACCUGCCUGAUCUAUACAAAGUCUUUGAGAGGUGUUAAAUAUGGUCAUUUGUGCACUGUAGGAUGUGUUGUUCAUUCUUUGUAUCCCGAUGUUAUUGGGAGCACUUAAGACUUACACCUUGCCUUCUAACUGGUAGCGUUCCUUUAUACAUGGUGGACUGAUUAUAAAUAAAUAGUCAGAUGUGUCCUAA
Molecule: RNA transcript, 3167 nt
Organism: Cebus imitator (Panamanian white-faced capuchin)
Lineage: Eukaryota; Metazoa; Chordata; Mammalia; Primates; Cebidae
Gene name: DNA mismatch repair protein Mlh1-like
Exons: 3
Source: RefSeq, a predicted model, not a curated record